UACGUAGGGUGCGAGCGUUGUCCGGAAUUAUUGGGCGUAAAGAGCUCGUAGGCGGUCUGUCGCGUCGGUCGUGAAAACUUGGGGCUUAACCCUGAGCUUGCGGUCGAUACGGGCAUGACUGGAGUUCGGCAGGGGAGACUGGAAUUCCUGGUGUAGCGGUGAAAUGCGCAGAUAUCAGGAGGAAUACCGGUGGGGUAGACGGCUCUCUGGACCGCCACUGACGCUGAGACACGAAAGCGUGGGUAGCAAACAGG
Molecule: ribosomal RNA, 254 nt
Filed under: uncultured bacterium
Lineage: Bacteria
Description: partial 16S ribosomal RNA
Rfam family: Bacterial small subunit ribosomal RNA
Source: RNAcentral